ACGGGAGGCAGCAGUGGGGAAUAUUGGGCAAUGGGCGCAAGCCUGACCCAGCAACGCCGCGUGAAGGAAGAAGGCUUUCGGGUUGUAAACUUCUUUGACAGGGGAAGAGCAGAAGACGGUACCCUGAAAACAAGCCACGGCUAACUACGUGCCAGCAGCCGCGGUAAUACGUAGGGAGCAAGCGUUAUCCGGAUUUACUGGGUGUAAAGGGCGUGUAGGCGGGACAUCAAGUCAGAUGUGAAAGCACGAGGCUCAACUUCGUGUCUGCAUUUGAAACUGACGUUCUUGAGUGUUGGAGAGGCUAACGGAACUCCUAGUGUAGCGGUGAAAUGCGUAGAUAUUAGGAAGAACACCAGUGGCGAAGGCGGUUAGCUGGACAAUAACUGACGCUGAGGCGCGAAAGCGUGGGUAGCAAACAGGAUUAGAUACCCUGGUA
Molecule: ribosomal RNA, 436 nt
Filed under: uncultured Oscillospiraceae bacterium
Lineage: Bacteria; Bacillati; Bacillota; Clostridia; Eubacteriales; Oscillospiraceae
Description: bacterial SSU rRNA
Rfam family: Bacterial small subunit ribosomal RNA
Source: RNAcentral